UAACAAAUAUAUUUUGACCUCAUUCAUCCU
This 30-nucleotide non-coding RNA is filed under the name Mus musculus (house mouse). Lineage: Eukaryota; Metazoa; Chordata; Mammalia; Rodentia; Muridae. The record is from RNAcentral.